CCUACGGGUGGCAGCAGUGAGGAAUAUUGGUCAAUGGGCGCGAGCCUGAACCAGCCAAGUAGCGUGCAGGAUGACUGCCCUACGGGUUGUAAACUUCUUUUAUAAAGGAAUAAAGUGAGGCACGUGUGCCUUUUUGUAUGUACUUUAUGAAUAAGGAUCGGCUAACUCCGUGCCAGCAGCCGCGGUAAUACGGAGGAUCCGAGCGUUAUCCGGAUUUAUUGGGUUUAAAGGGAGCGUAGGUGGGUUGGUAAGUCAGUUGUGAAAGUUUGGGGCUCAACCGUAAAAUUGCAAUUGAUACUGGCAGCCUUGAGUACAGUUGAGGUAGGCGGAAUUCGUGGUGUAGCGGUGAAAUGCUUAGAUAUCACGAAGAACACCGAUUGCGAAGGCAGCUUACUAAGCUGCCACUGACGUUGAGGCACGAAAGUGUGGGGAUCAAACAGGAUUAGAUACCCUUGUAGUC
Molecule: ribosomal RNA, 460 nt
Filed under: uncultured bacterium
Lineage: Bacteria
Description: partial 16S ribosomal RNA
Rfam family: Bacterial small subunit ribosomal RNA
Source: RNAcentral